This 200-nucleotide ribosomal RNA is filed under the name uncultured eukaryote. RNAcentral's name for it is "partial 18S ribosomal RNA". It matches the Rfam family "Eukaryotic small subunit ribosomal RNA", at positions 588 to 802 of the family's 1831-position model. The record is from RNAcentral.
GCUCCAAUAGCGUAUAUUAAAGUUGUUGCAGUUAAAAAGCUCGUAGUUGAACUUCUGGCAGUCGUUAUCGCAGGCUUCGGUCGCGGUUUGGGCUGUCAUCCGCUAGGGAACCUCGUGCGGUCUUGAUUGAUCGGCGGGAGGAUCUGGCAUUUUACUUUGAAAAAAUUAGAGUGUUCAAGGCAGGCAAUCGCCAUGAAUAC